This 1167-nucleotide long non-coding RNA is filed under the name Homo sapiens (human). RNAcentral's name for it is "non-protein coding lnc-SMIM29-1:1". Lineage: Eukaryota; Metazoa; Chordata; Mammalia; Primates; Hominidae. The record is from RNAcentral.
GCCGCUGCCGCGCGGGUGGGUGCUGACGGCAGGGAGGGGCGUGUGGGAGGCCUGGGCUGCGAACUCGAGUCGACCGCCCACUCCUCGCAGUCCCGGACGGAGGAGGUGUGGGAAGGCACGCGCAGAGGAGUCACGAAGGAGCUUCUGGCGGGGGGUGGUGACGGGUGGCGGUAUCCUUCCUCCCUGGUACAGGGGUCCCAGGGAGAGUCACCUCUAGGGGCUUCCAGGGCGUGUGGGCCCGGCCCCCCCCCCAGGGCGUGUGGGGGUGGACGGGGGUCCACGCGGGCCCAGGGGGUGAAGAGAAACGCGCUCGUUAGAGAAUUCCGCGGCCUACACGCCGCCCCCUAACUAAAAUAGAGAGAUGGUAGAUUUCCCCUGGGCGGACAGGUGUCAGCAUGUGCCUUUCAGUGUCAACCCGCGUGUGGCUGAUUGGUGAGAUACAAGUCUUGUGAAAUUCAAACGUGAAACUUGUGAAAUCCAAAGUGUUUUAUUAAUGGCCACCAGCGAGCCAUGAUCAAGGUGGAGCCUUCCAGCGAAACCAACGAUUGGCUCGUUGGCAGGUACACCCAAGGGAGGCUUCAUACCUUGAGGUGACUUAGAUGGUGUUCUGGAGAUACGCAGGCCCACUUGGGGACCUGGGCCCUUCCGUUGGGACUGUAAAUAAAAAUAAAAGGUGGGCCAGAGGUCGCCUGGAAGCGCUUUGAGGGCAGGGGCCGAGCACGCAGGCCAUCUCCGCCACGCCUGGCCCGCCCGGCGCCCGGCUUAACAAAGACUUGUUGCACCGAGCGAGAAGGAAGCCAAAGGGGAAGAUGGCGGGGAGGGCGGUGGGGGAGGAAAGGGCGCAGGCGGAGCGGCGCGCCCUGCAGGCCGGCCCGGGGCCUUCUCGGGCGCACCUCCCGCGCCCGGUCCCCGAGGCGGCCUUCCACACCUCCUGUGAUGCAGGGAAUUGAAAUGCGCUCCAGUGACACACGGCUGUGACUCAUGUUUUUCUCUGCUCCCCUUCUUCCUCCCCGGUCAGCCGAGGCCCUGGCCCAGCCCCCUCCUCAGGGGGCGAGCCGGCGGUGGAGGGGACGCAGGAAAGCCCUGGGCCCGGCGCGGAGGCGGGGUGGGGAGCGGCGGGCUGGGCCUUGCAGUUGCAGGAAUGUGGCAGGAAUGUUUCCGGUGGGG